This is an RNA transcript of Anguilla anguilla (European eel), 2081 nucleotides long. It is a transcript of the gene named protein-L-isoaspartate (D-aspartate) O-methyltransferase, with no coding region annotated. The record is from RefSeq and is a predicted model, not a curated record. The transcript has 8 exons. NCBI's taxonomy places the organism in Eukaryota, Metazoa, Chordata, Actinopteri, Anguilliformes, Anguillidae.
AACCAGCAUAUUGGCCAAAUAUCUGAAAUAAAGAUACUAUGUAUUUAAAUAUACUUUAAAUGUGUGUAUUUUCUUAUUACGUAUGUGAGUUGCAGGGCAAGUUAACUGUAGGGUUACGCGGGAAAGCGCAAAUCGGGGCUGGGCGAGAGCUAUGUCCAGUGACGUAUCAUCUCCUUCUGUGUUGGAAGUUGUUACUGUUGUGGGCAAAGCGGUUUGCGCAGGCGCGGCACUGACAGCCGCUCUCUACUUGAUCCGCAGAUUGUGUUUAAUGAUGGCCUGGAAAUCAGGAGGAGCCAGCCACGCCGAGCUCGUCAACAACCUCCGCAAAAAUGGGAUCAUCAAAUCAGACAAUGUCUACGAGGUCAUGUUGGCUACUGACCGAGCCCACUUCUCCAGAUGCAACCCUUACAUGGACUCUCCCCAGUCAAUAGGUUACCAAGCAACUAUCAGUGCUCCCCAUAUGCACGCCUAUGCCCUGGAGCUACUGCACGACCAGCUACACGAAGGGGCGAAAGCUCUGGACGUGGGGUCAGGCAGCGGUAUCCUCUCCGUGUGUUUUGCAAGAAUGGUGGGUCCCAAGGGGAAGGUAAUAGGAAUCGAUCACAUUCAGGAGCUGGUAGAUGACUCAGUAAACAAUGUGAAAAAGCACGACGCCAGCCUGAUAACCUCAGGCAGGGUGAAGCUGGUCGUGGGGGAUGGGCGAUUGGGCUACGAGUCGGAGGCACCCUACGACGCCAUCCAUGUCGGAGCGGCAGCACCUACCGUGCCACAGGCACUGCUGGACCAGCUUAAGCCGGGCGGGAGGCUGAUUCUGCCCGUGGGCCCGGCCGGGGGGAACCAGACGCUGGAGCAGUACGACAAAAUGGAGGACGGGAGCACCAAAAUGAAGCCCCUGAUGGGGGUGAUUUACGUGCCUUUAACAGACAAAGACAAGCAGUGGUCCAGGUGGAAGUGACUUCCUACUCCCUCUCUCCCCCCUCCUUCCCAGGGUGGCAAAGGUGAAAGGGAUGAACUGUGAAGUCGGAGAGCAUAAGUAUCCUGCAUUUCAGUCUGAACCUGGAAUGAGCUUCUCAAGGUUCAGCAGCUAUUGGAUUUCAACGAAAACAUCAAUAACCAACACAUCGGAACAGUUUCUUUCUUUUCUUCGGGUUGGGUUGGUGGAUGGGCUGGGAAGGAUUUUCAUGCUUAAUUAUAAGUAUAGUGCUGAGGGACAACCCAGAGUGCAAGAAAAUGGAUUGGUAGUUAUUAACAAAAAGUUAGGAGGUUGAGUUUGUUGUAAUGCCUGCAUUUUGUUGUUGUGAAAUAUAAUUUUUUUUCUUUUUUUGUUUUCCUGUUUUUGAAAUGGACGCAGGGUUUCUGUGGUUAGAUGAAUAAACAAGUCAAAACCACAUUCUACAUACAUGUUCAGCUCCAUAAAGCUAAAGACGAGAGACCAGUUUUCUUAUUGCCAGGUUGUUUUGAUGUGUUAAGCCUUUCAAAUGCAUAUUAGGUGUCCACAUAGCCAGAGUGUGCAUCCAAAAAAAUGUAGAUAUCUGUAUUGGUCUGCGCUAAUAUUUAAAUGUUUCUGCUUUUUUUUUUUUUGGUUCCCAGCUAACAGUAUUUAAAUAGAACAGCACAACGGCUGAUUUUCUUGUCCAACGUGGUAUCUAAUUGCUUGAAAUGCAGCACACGAUGACCCCCAGUGUUUGCAGUGGCAUUGUAGAUAUCUCUCACUCUCGUACAGUCGGCAACGCAGGCAGGCUCCUCCCACCCUCCCUUGCAGGGGCGAAUGGCACGCAUGCCCCUGGCUGCGCUUUCACUCCGACGCACCGGAUUGGCCGCAGUGUCUGGUCUCCAUCACCGCAUUCUGUGCAGGCUUCUCACUAGCGAGUGACACUAAAACAAAGAGCAGCUUUGCAAAAAAAAUUAUAAUAAACCUUCGUGCAAAGCAUAUGUCUUCUGUUUUUCUUUUUUGUUCUAUGUUCUCUCUGUGAGUUUUAGAGCAUAUUACCUUGGAGGCUUAGAAGAUGUGUUGCUUCAAGGGGUGUACACUGUUUAUGGAAUUGCAAGUGGCUUUAAAUAAAAAAAAAAAGCUCAUCUUA